CCUACGGGGUGCACCAGUGGGGGAUAUUGGACAAUGGGCGAAAGCCUGAUCCAGCAUGCCGCGUGUGUGAAGGAGGUCUUCGGAUUGUAAAGCACUUUCGACGGGGACGAUGAUGACGGUACCCGUAGAAGAAGCCCCGGCUAACUUCGUGCCAGCAGCCGCGGUAAUACGAAGGGGGCUAGCGUUGCUCGGAAUGACUGGGCGUAAAGGGCGCGUAGGCGGUUAAUGCAGUCAGAUGUGAAAUCCCCGGGCUUAACCUGGGAACUGCAUUUGAGACGUAUAGACUAGAGGUCGAGAGAGGGUUGUGGAAUUCCCAGUGUAGAGGUGAAAUUCGUAGAUAUUGGGAAGAACACCGGUGGCGAAGGCGGCAACCUGGCUCGAUACUGACGCUGAGGCGCGAAAGCGUGGGGAGCAAACAGGAUUAGAUACCCGAGUAGUC
Molecule: ribosomal RNA, 439 nt
Filed under: uncultured bacterium
Lineage: Bacteria
Description: bacterial SSU rRNA
Rfam family: Bacterial small subunit ribosomal RNA
Source: RNAcentral